GAGCAACUGUUGUUGGGCUGGGAGGAGAGCGGCAAGCUGGGAGGGAGCAAGACCAGGAGGAAGGAGGUGGAAUUGAGGACAGUGAUGGGAAACGAGAUGGAAACAUGCACAAGGGAGGGGAAAGAGAAUGAUGCAGGAUGACAGCGAUAACGUAAAGGACGAACAGAAUGAAGACGGAUGUGGAAACGUCAAACGUCAGGAGAGAGAACAGAGAAGUGUCAGCUGAGCAUUCCAGGAACUGAGGUGCAGGUGAAUCUGUUAGCGGACAGUAAAAGCAUGCCAGAGCAAGACAAGCCAGAAAAGCAACCCUCUUAACAUAAGGAACGUUUAACUUCUGCUGCAGGUUCUUCGGGGUUUCUACACACUUGAGGAUUCCAGACAGUUUUCACAACAUUACUCUGAAAACAACGCUUCGACCUGAAGCGUGUUUGGAGCUGCUCAUGUAUUUAAUAAACUCAGAAGAAACAGCCCGAAACAACUGGAAGCAACAAACUAAACCACAGCUCCUGGAUUCCAGUCAUGAGUGAGGAGUCAUUUAUUUAUUGCAGCCUGUCUUUGUCGCAGUGAAGUUUCAUUUUGUUUUUACAUUUUAGUUUGUAAAAGAUGUGAAACUGUUGAGCAAAGUGAAUGAAAAAUG
Molecule: long non-coding RNA, 637 nt
Organism: Acanthochromis polyacanthus (spiny chromis)
Lineage: Eukaryota; Metazoa; Chordata; Actinopteri; Pomacentridae
Exons: 2
Source: RefSeq, a predicted model, not a curated record